AAGACUAUACUUUCAGGGAUCAUUUCUAUAGUUUGUUACUAGAGAAGUUUCUCUGACUGUGUAGAGCACCCGAAACCACGAGGAGGAGGUGUAGUGCUCUCUUCUGAGCGUGAAACUGACAAUUGGUGUUGUUUUUGCAACAAUCUCUUGUCAUUGAUGAUCGUUCUUCUCUUCGUAUAGAAGAGUGAGAGGAAGAGAGCACAAUCUGAGUGGU
Molecule: small nucleolar RNA, 214 nt
Organism: Manis javanica (Malayan pangolin)
Lineage: Eukaryota; Metazoa; Chordata; Mammalia; Pholidota; Manidae
Product: small nucleolar RNA U3
Source: RefSeq, a predicted model, not a curated record